GAUGAACGCUAGCGGCAGGCUUAAUACAUGCAAGUCAAGGGGGUAGCAAUACAACCGGCGCACGGGUGAGUAACGCGUACACAACAUGCCAUAUACUGGGGUAUAGCUUCGGGAAACUGAAGGUAAUCCCCCAUAACAUUGCGAAUAGGCAUCUAAUUGCAAUUAAAGUUCCGACGGUAUAUGAUUGGUGUGCGUUUGAUUAGGUAGUUGGCGGGGUAACGGCCCACCAAGCCGACGAUCAAUAGCUGGCGUGAGAGCGCGACCAGCCACACUGGAACUGAGACACGGUCCAGACUCCUACGGGAGGCAGCAGUAGGGAAUAUUGGACAAUGGGCGAAAGCCUGAUCCAGCCAUGCCGCGUGAUAGAUGAAGGCCCUCUGGGUUGUAAAUAUCUUUUAUCUGGGAAGAAACUCCUCUAUUCUUAGAGGCCUGACGGUACCAGAGGAAUAAGCACCGGCUAACUCCGUGCCAGCAGCCGCGGUAAU
Molecule: ribosomal RNA, 485 nt
Filed under: uncultured bacterium
Lineage: Bacteria
Description: bacterial SSU rRNA
Rfam family: Bacterial small subunit ribosomal RNA
Source: RNAcentral